RNAcentral lists this ribosomal RNA (495 nucleotides) under uncultured bacterium. RNAcentral's name for it is "partial 16S ribosomal RNA". It matches the Rfam family "Bacterial small subunit ribosomal RNA", at positions 28 to 507 of the family's 1533-position model. The record is from RNAcentral.
GACGAACGCUGGCGGCGUGCCUAAUACAUGCAAGUCGAACGCUGAAGGAGGAGCUUGCUUCUCUGGAUGAGUUGCGAACGGGUGAGUAACGCGUAGGUAACCUGCCCGGUAGCGGGGGAUAACUAUUGGAAACGAUAGCUAAUACCGCAUAACAGUACAUAUCGCAUGAUAUCUACUUGAAAGGUGCAAUUGCAUCACUACCAGACGGACCUGCGUUGUAUUAGCUAGUUGGUGAGGUAUCGGCUCACCAUGGCGACGAUACAUAGCCGACCUGUGAGGGUGAUCAGCCGCACUGGGAGUGUGACACGCCCCAUACUCCUUGAGGAGCCAGCAGUAGGGAGUCUUCGGGAAUGGACGGAAGACUGACCGAGCAGCGCCGCGUUAGUGAGGAAGGUAUCCGGAUCGUAAAGGACGGUUGUAGGAGAAGAACGAGUUUGAGAGUGGAAAGUUCACACAGUGACGGUAGCUUGCCAGAGAGGGACGGCUAACUACGUG